GAUGAACGCUGGCGGCGUGCCUAAUACAUGCAAGUCGAGCGAACAGACGAGAGUGCUUGCACUCUCUGACGUUAGCGGCGGACGGGUGAGUAACACGUGGGUAACCUACCUAUGAGACUGGGAUAACUUCGGGAAACCGGAGCUAAUACCGGAUAAUAUUUAGCUUCGCAUGCAGCAAUAGUGAAAGACGGUUCUGCUGUCACGUUUAGAUUGACCCGCGGUGUAUUGGCAGGUUGGUGAGGGAACGGCUCACCAAGGAAACGUUACAUAGCGGACCUGAGGGGUGGUUCGGCAAACUGGGACUGAGACACGGUCCCGACUCCUACGGGAGGCCAGAGUUGGGAAUUUUUCCGCAUGGGCGGAAAUCCGAACGAGGCAAGGCGGGGGUGGGAAAGAGGUUUUCGGAUUGUAAAACCCUUUUUGUAGGGAAAAAACAGGUACGUUAUAAACGGAACUUACUUUGCGGUACCCGAACAGAAAGCCACGGCUAACUACGUG
RNAcentral lists this ribosomal RNA (498 nucleotides) under uncultured bacterium. Its description in RNAcentral is "partial 16S ribosomal RNA". It matches the Rfam family "Bacterial small subunit ribosomal RNA", at positions 28 to 507 of the family's 1533-position model. The record is from RNAcentral.